GCCAAAAAUCUAGCCCUAUUUUUACGUAUAGCCCCAAUAACUAACUGCAUGAAUAAAAACAUUUUUCUCUCUUUAGUAAAGGCGAUUGAAAAACAAAUUAGAGCCAUAAUGAUAGUACCGCAAGGAAAAGAUGAAAUAAUAAUGAAAUAAACUUCAAGCAUAAAAAAGCAGAGGCAUACACUCGUACCUUUUGCAUCAUGAUCUAACUAGUCUAACCAAGCAUAAAGAACUUUAGUUUGACCUCCCGAAACUAGGCGAGCUACUUCAGGGCAGCUUAAUGAGCCCACCCGUCUCUGUUGCAAAAGAGUGGGAAGACCCCCAAGUAGCGGUGAUAGACCUAACGAGCCUAGUGAUAGCUGGUUUCUUAAGAAAAGGAUUUAAGUCCUACCUAAAGCAUCUUUAAUAAGCACUAAAAACUUCUAAUGCUUUAGAGCCAUUCAAAUGAGGUACAGCCCGUUUGAAAUAAGGAUACAACCUACACUAAUGGGUAACUUCAUUUCUCAUAUUUAAACAAGUGGGCCUAAAAGCAGCCACCUUUUAGAUAGCGUCAAAGCUUUCCUAUACAACAUUAUCAAUGUCACCACACCCUAUCAACCCUUUAUUAAUAUUAAGUUGUUCUAUAUUACUAUAGAAGUAUUUAUGUUAGAACUAGUAAUAAGAAAAUUGCCCUUCUCUUAGAUGUAAGUGUAAAUCAGAAAGGACAAACCACUGCUAAUUAAACAUCAAUGAGCACAAAACAGUAACCCAACCAGAAAACCCUGUUUUUAUAAAUGUUAACCUGACACUAGCACAUCACAAGAAAGAUUAAAAGAAAAAGAAGGAACUCGGCAAACAUUAACCCCGCCUGUUUACCAAAAACAUCGCCUCUCGCUAUAUAUGAGAGGUCCAGCCUGCCCAGUGAUUAAAUUCAACGGCCGCGGUAUCCUAACCGUGCGAAGGUAGCGUAAUCACUUGUUCUUUAAAUGAGGACUAGUAUGAAUGGCACCACGAGGGUUAUACUGUCUCCUUUUUCCAAUCAAUGAAACUGAUCUCUCCGUGAAGAAGCGGGGAUAGAUAUAUAAGACGAGAAGACCCUAUGGAGCUUUAAACAAUUAUAGCACUAGCCCCCACCUUCAUUCUCCAGAGACAUAAUUAAUAUACAGGCUAACAUGACUAUUAGUUUUAGGUUGGGGUGACCGCGGAGCAAAAAUUAACCUCCACAUUGAAAGGAGCUACUCCUGAGCUAAAAGCUACGACUUUAAGCACCAAUAAACUGACAUUAAUUGACCCAAUAUGUUGAGCAACGAACCAAGUUACCCUAGGGAUAACAGCGCAAUCCAUUUCAAGAGCCCCUAUCGACAAAUGGGUUUACGACCUCGAUGUUGGAUCAGGGUAUCCCAGUGGUGCAGCCGCUACUAAAGGUUCGUUUGUUCAACGAUUAAAACCCU
This 1427-nucleotide ribosomal RNA is filed under the name Dendropsophus studerae. RNAcentral describes it as "partial 16S ribosomal RNA". It matches the Rfam family "Bacterial large subunit ribosomal RNA", at positions 133 to 2597 of the family's 2925-position model. Lineage: Eukaryota; Metazoa; Chordata; Amphibia; Anura; Hylidae. The record is from RNAcentral.